UUUAAUAAGUCAAAACUUUCAACAACGGAUCUCUUGGUUCUGGCAUCGAUGAAGAACGCAGCGAAAUGCGAUAAGUAAUGUGAAUUGCAGAAUUCAGUGAAUCAUCGAAUCUUUGAACGCACAUUGCGCCCAUUAGUAUUCUAGUGGGCAUGCCUGUUCGAGCGUCAUUUCAACCCCUAAGCACAGCUUAUUGUUGGGCGUCUACUCCGGUAGUGCCUCAAAGACAUUGGCGGAGCGGCAGUAGUCCUCUGAGCGUAGUAAUUCUUUAUCUCGCUUUUGUCAGGUGCUGCCCCCCCGGCCGUAAAACCCCCCAAUUUUUUCUGGUUGACCUCGGAUCAGGUAGGAAUACCCGCUGAACUUAAGCAUAUCAAUAAGCGGAGGAAAAGAAACCAACAGGGAUUGCCCCAGUAACG
This 413-nucleotide ribosomal RNA is filed under the name uncultured fungus. Its description in RNAcentral is "eukaryotic LSU rRNA". The stretch from base 14 to 167 matches the Rfam family "5.8S ribosomal RNA". Lineage: Eukaryota; Fungi. The record is from RNAcentral.